UCAUUCUUCCGUUUCCGGGAAAAAAACCGUAACCAUUUUUAAAAUGAAAACAUAUCUUUAUAUAGCCAAAGAUAGCUUAUAGUACCGAAUUAAAUUUAUUUUUAGUCUAUGUCUACGAAUUAUGAUCUCACAUGGUGCACAAAUAAAGUGGCCUAUUGCUUUUUUUUUGCAUGAAACAUGCUUGAAAUGAAACGUAAGCCAUAUAGAAUAUCCGGUGAACUCCCGGUUAACUACAGUUUAUGAAGAUCGACAUAAACAAAUAAAUGGCAAAUUUUAGUUCCCGGUGAUCACGCAGUACUCUUUGUAUAUCGUUGCUGGUGUGGCUGUUCAUAGUGUCCUUCAUUUUGUUCAUGUCUAAAGUGAUAAGAACUCCUAAAUUAUAUUCUUUAUGGAAUAUCAAACCUCCGAAUCGGAAGGCGAGACGGUAACCCGAAGUGGGAACUAUUCAGUAUUUCUGUUACUAAUAUGAUUUGUAUUAUAAAAGGUACUUACUGAUGUACUUGAGAUUUGAUUAUGAAGUAAUAGAGAUAAUUUUAUUAAUUAUUAAAUAUGUUAGAUGGUUGAA
Helicoverpa zea (corn earworm) is the source of this 565-nucleotide long non-coding RNA. RefSeq lists it as uncharacterized. The record is from RefSeq and is a predicted model, not a curated record. The transcript is spliced from 2 exons. NCBI's taxonomy places the organism in Eukaryota, Metazoa, Arthropoda, Insecta, Lepidoptera, Noctuidae.